RNAcentral lists this ribosomal RNA (549 nucleotides) under uncultured Glomeromycotina. Its description in RNAcentral is "SSU rRNA". It matches the Rfam family "Eukaryotic small subunit ribosomal RNA", at positions 548 to 1098 of the family's 1831-position model. The record is from RNAcentral. Lineage: Eukaryota; Fungi; Glomeromycota.
UUGGAGGGCAAGUCUGGUGCCAGCAGCCGCGGUAAUUCCAGCUCCAAUAGCGUAUAUUAAAGUUGUUGCAGUUAAAAAGCUCGUAGUUGAAUUUCGGGAUCAAUAUGUCGGUCGUGCCUUCGGUACGUACUGGUAUCAUUGGUCUCUCCUUUCUGACGAACCAUGAUGUCAUUAAUUUGGUAUUAUGGGGAGUUAGGACUGUUACUUUGAAAAAAUUAGAGUGUUUAAAGCAGGCUUUAGCUUGAAUACAUUAGCAUGGAAUAAUGAAAUAGGACGUUCGAACCUAUUUUGUUGGUUUCUAGGAUCAACGUAAUGAUUAAUAGGGAUAGUUGGGGGCAUUAGUAUUCAAUUGUCAGAGGUGAAAUUCUUGGAUUUAUUGAAGACUAACUACUGCGAAAGCAUUUGCCAAGGAUGUUUUCAUUAAUCAAGAACGAAAGUUAGGGGAUCGAAGACGAUCAGAUACCGUCGUAGUCUUAACCAUAAACUAUGCCGACUAGGGAUCGGAUGAUGUUAAUUUUUUAAUGACUCAUUCGGCGCCUUACGGGAAAC